Molecule: unclassified non-coding RNA, 176 nt
Filed under: uncultured fungus
Lineage: Eukaryota; Fungi
Description: sequence contains ITS1, 5.8S rRNA gene
Source: RNAcentral
GUGAAAUCCAUUCGGAGGUGGGUUGUUGCUGGCUUCGGCAUGUGCACGCCCUCUCCAACACACACACACCUGUGAACAACGGGGCGGAUCUGGUUAGGUGCUACCUGACUGGUGAUGCUUCUAUUUACAAACUCUUUUGAAACCAUGAAUGUAACUCUCGUUUAUAACGAAUGAAA